UAGGGAAUCUUCCACAAUGGGCGCAAGCCUGAUGGAGCAACACCGCGUGAGUGAAGAAGGGUUUCGGCUCGUAAAGCUCUGUUGUUAAAGAAGAACACGUAUGAGAGUAACUGUUCAUACUUUGACGGUAUUUAACCAGAAAGUCACGGCUAACUACGUGCCUG
This 164-nucleotide ribosomal RNA is filed under the name uncultured bacterium. RNAcentral's name for it is "partial 16S ribosomal RNA". It matches the Rfam family "Bacterial small subunit ribosomal RNA", at positions 355 to 511 of the family's 1533-position model. The record is from RNAcentral.